Non-coding RNA from Paramuricea clavata, 103 nucleotides. The record is from the annotation of a GenBank genome assembly. Lineage: Eukaryota; Metazoa; Cnidaria; Anthozoa; Malacalcyonacea; Plexauridae.
UAUAUACGUCGAAUUUUGGUCGCGUCGAAUGCAAUUCAAUUUGUGCAAUUCAAUUAUCUAUUGUUUGAAUUGCAUUCGACGCGACCAAAAUUCGACGAACAAA